AACGAACGCUGGCGGCAUGCCUAACACAUGCAAGUCGAACGAGACCUUCGGGUCUAGUGGCGCACGGGUGCGUAACGCGGGGGAACCUACCCUUAGGUUCGGAAUAACUCCCCGAAAGGGGUGCUAAUACCGGAUAAUGUCUUCGGACCAAAGAUUUAUCGCCUUUGGAUGGGCCCGCGUUGGAUUAGCUAGUUGGUAGGGUAAAAGCCUACCAAGGCGACGAUCCAUAGCUGGUCUGAGAGGAUGAUCAGCCACACUGGGACUGAGACACGGCCCAGACUCCUACGGGAGGCAGCAGUGGGGAAUAUUGGACAAUGAGCGCAAGCCUGAUCCAGCCAUGCCGCGUGAGUGAUGAAGGCCUUAGGGUUGUAAAGCUCUUUUACCCGGGAUGAUAAUGACAGUACCGGGAGAAUAAGCUCCGGCUAACUCCGUG
This 433-nucleotide ribosomal RNA is filed under the name uncultured bacterium. Its description in RNAcentral is "partial 16S ribosomal RNA". It matches the Rfam family "Bacterial small subunit ribosomal RNA", at positions 29 to 507 of the family's 1533-position model. The record is from RNAcentral.